CCUCCACCUCCUGGGUUCCAGUGAUUCUCCUGUCUCAGCCUCCCGAGUAGGUGGAAUUACAGGCGCACCCCACCCUGCCUGGCUAAUUUUUGUAUUUUUAAUAGAGAUGGGAUUUCACCAUGUUGGCCAGGCUGCUCUUGAACUUCUGACCACCAGUGAACCACCUGCCUCGGCCUCCCAGAGUGCUGGGAUUACAGGCAUGAGCCACCACACCCAGCCUGGUCACAUGUUUAAUAUCAACUUGUCUUAUGAACCUGUUUUGUUCACUGGAACAAUGAGGAAAAACCUGGAUCCCUUUAAUGAGCACACGGAUGAGGAACUGUGGAAUGCCUUACAAGAGGUACAACUUAAAGAAACCAUUGAAGAUCUUCCUGGUAAAAUGGAUACUGAAUUAGCAGAAUCAGGAUCCAAUUUUAGUGUUGGACAAAGACAACUGGUGUGCCUUGCCAGGGCAAUUCUCAGGAAAAAUCAGAUAUUGAUUAUUGAUGAAGCGACGGCAAAUGUGGAUCCAAGAACUGAUGAGUUAAUACAAAAAAAAAUCCGGGAGAAAUUUGCCCACUGCACCGUGCUCACCAUUGCACACAGAUUGAACACCAUUAUUGACAGCGACAAGAUAAUGGU
RNAcentral lists this small RNA (621 nucleotides) under Pongo abelii (Sumatran orangutan). Its description in RNAcentral is "processed transcript". The record is from RNAcentral. Lineage: Eukaryota; Metazoa; Chordata; Mammalia; Primates; Hominidae.